Molecule: non-coding RNA, 1187 nt
Organism: Meleagris gallopavo (turkey)
Lineage: Eukaryota; Metazoa; Chordata; Aves; Galliformes; Phasianidae
Source: RefSeq, a predicted model, not a curated record
GAAGGAUUUCUUCCUGGAGAUCCUUCCUUGGUGAAGCUUUCUCUUGUGAACUGAGAUUCUUCUGAUACAGGAGAUUUGCAUUCCUGUAAGGACUGAAGAAAUCCUGUCCUACUGAAUGGAAGCUGCUGGGAAUACCCACAGCAAGAAAUGAAGCUUUCAUGUCUGUCAAAAAAGUCCCUCACAGGUGUAGAGCUGAAAGAAUCCUACAAAGGCAGUGUUUGCUCAGUUAUCCAGGCAGUGAUGGGAACAGCUGAGACAUCCAGGGAAGGCCACCAGGAUACUGCACAGAGGGGAAAGAAGGUCAACGCUGAAAUUCUUCAGGCCCUUUUGGGGCCUCAAAGGAAAUGGUUUGACUUCUCCUCCCGACUUUCCUUCCCGUUCCUCAUCCCACCUCUAUUCUUAGCAGCUUUGUCUGAGGGCUGGGAACAGAGCAUGGUUUCUUAAUUCCUCACCUCCUGUUACCUCAUAUUUUGACUUAGGAGGCUGAGGGUGGUGGCAGAGGUUGUAACCUUGCAUGGAGCUGUUGUUUUUGUUUACACAAGGGCUGCUUUUCCAUUAAGUAGGAUUUUCUCAGCUAUUGGGACAUGCCAUAGGUGUGACAUCAAUCUGUUCUGGUACCAACAAUUUAGCUCCAAAAAAAACCAAUAUUACACAGUCCCAAAAAUGGGACCUCACGAGUGAGCUCCCUGUGCCAGCUACCUGCUGUCAUGCUCCACAAACCCUGCUCUUGGCAGGAUCCAAGAAAACAACACCAGAACACAGUGCUUCUCCCUUCCUGCCACAUUAAACGAGACCCCUUAAUUACAUCUGGGGAUGAAACUGGCUCAACAAGUUGGGCAGCUCAUGGGACUGCUAGUUGGGAAGCUGCACCUGCAGCCCCAGCUCUCCCCAUGGGCUGACAUCUCACCCCAAGAGAUGGAAAACAGUUGCCCUCCUUCCUUAGUCCAUUAAUAUCUACUCUGUCUACCUCAUCUAAUCUCCAUGACAUCUGAGUGCCUUUGUGUGUCAGCUUCCUGCGAUGUAAUCACCUUAAUCCCCCCGAAACAAAGCAGCCCCUGCUGAGGAACUCACAAUAGGUGCCUUUCACUCACACCACAACCUUGGCCUCGGUGGCACUUACAACAAAGCAUCCAUAUGUGCACCAAUAUGGGCUGAUCAGUUGGCUCAACACCGUGCAGGAUCUGAGC